CCUACGGGAGGCUGCAGUGAGGAAUAUUGGUCACUGGGCGAGAGCCUGAACCAGCCAAGUCGCGUGAAGGAUGACGGCCCUACGGGUUGUAAACUUCUUUUGUCAGGGAGCAAUUGGGUCCACGCGUGUGCUUAGCGAGAGUACCUGAAGAAAAAGCAUCGGCUAACUCCGUGCCAGCAGCCGCGGUAAUACGGAGGAUGCGAGGGUUAUCCGGAUUUAUUGGGUUUACAGGGUGCGUAGGCGGAAUAUCAAGUCGGCGGGAAAAAUUCGGGGCUCAAACCAGUCGUGCCAUUGAAACUGAUGUUCUUGAGUGGGCGAGAAGUAUGCGGAAUGCGUGGUGUAGCGGUGAAAUGCAUAGAUAUCACGCAGAACUCCGAUUGCGAAGGCAGCAUACCGGCGCCCAACUGACGCUGAAGCACGAAAGCGUGGGUAUCGAACAGGAUUAGAUACCCUUGUAGUC
RNAcentral lists this ribosomal RNA (460 nucleotides) under uncultured bacterium. RNAcentral describes it as "partial 16S ribosomal RNA". It matches the Rfam family "Bacterial small subunit ribosomal RNA", at positions 338 to 795 of the family's 1533-position model. The record is from RNAcentral.